This 82-nucleotide transfer RNA is filed under the name Ixodes scapularis (black-legged tick). It matches the Rfam family "tRNA". Rfam says of the family: Transfer RNA (tRNA) molecules are approximately 80 nucleotides in length. Their secondary structure includes four short double-helical elements and three loops (D, anti-codon, and T loops). Lineage: Eukaryota; Metazoa; Arthropoda; Arachnida; Ixodida; Ixodidae. The record is from Rfam by way of RNAcentral.
GCAGUCGUGACCGAGUGGUUAAGGCGAUGGAUUAGAAAUCCAUUGGGGUCUCCCCGUACAGGUUGGAAUCCUGUCGACUGCG